UUCGCAAUGCCCGAAAGGGUGACGAAGUGACGCCGCGUGUGGGAAGAAGGCCUUCGGGUUGUAAACCACUGUUGGGAGUUAGGAAGUGUGGAGGUGUUAAUAGCGCUUUCACUUGACUAAAGCUCCAGAGGAAGCCACGGCUAACUCUGUGCCAGCAGCCGCGGUAAUACAGAGGCGGCAAGCGUUGUUCGGAAUUAUUGGGCGUAAAGAGCACGUAGGCGGCUCUGCAAGUCAGCUGUGAAAGCCUUUUGCUUAACGGAAGAACGGCAGUUGAAACUACAGGGCUUGAGUGCGGGAGGGGAGAGUGGAACUUCUGGUGGAGCGGUGAAAUGCGUAGAUAUCAGAAGGAACGCCGGCGGCGAAAGCGGCUCUCUGGUCCGUAACUGACGCUGAGUGUGCGAAAGCUAGGGGAGCAAACGGGAUUAGAUACCCCGGUAGUCCUAGCCGUAAACGAUGGGCACUAAGUAGAG
Molecule: ribosomal RNA, 470 nt
Filed under: uncultured bacterium
Lineage: Bacteria
Description: bacterial SSU rRNA
Rfam family: Bacterial small subunit ribosomal RNA
Source: RNAcentral